Papaver somniferum (opium poppy) is the source of this 930-nucleotide long non-coding RNA. RefSeq lists it as uncharacterized. Lineage: Eukaryota; Viridiplantae; Streptophyta; Magnoliopsida; Ranunculales; Papaveraceae. The record is from RefSeq and is a predicted model, not a curated record. The transcript is spliced from 6 exons.
AUCUCUCCGAACUCUCCACACGACUAACCCCUCGUUUCUUCGCCUCCAUUCCUCCCUGGUCUCCCCUUCUCCCUCACCUUCACAGAUUAAAACUCAUUCAUCUCUCUUUCUACAGAACUCACUCAAUCGGAUAUCUCUCUUUCUACAAAACUCACUCGAUCUUCUUUGGAGAUUAGGGGAUGAAAUUGAUGAUGAAGAUACAAAAGAAGAAAAACACGCUUACAAAUUUUGAUACAGGAUUUGUUGUUGUGGUAUUUCUCUUUCUCUACAGCAAGAAGGGGUUCGCUGGCAAGGUUAUUAUACAUAUCUACAACAGAAAGGGUAUAUGCAUUACAAACUAUGGGAAAACAUGGGAGAAGUUAAUGAUGGCUAAAGCAUACUACGCCAAGGUCUUGCACAUGCAGUUAGUGAAUCUAAUCCUUCAUACCUAUCCUCCAAAUCAAAGUUUGGACUUGUUGAUUGGGACAAGUUAGAUGCAGAAAUAAUAUUUAAUUAGUUAAUUACUCGGUGGUGCUAUAGGUAGAGAAAGGUGGACAAAAUGUUGAUGGUGGUAGUUAUAUUUAGUUUUAGUGGAUGGGUUGUUCGUUGAAUUCUUCCGUUAGCAGGGUAACUCUUACAUAUGGAACUAAGAUGAGUCUUUUUGUCUUAUUUACCAAUUCAGGUCACAAAACAUGAUAUUAACAGGCAUCAUAGAAUUAUUUUUGGAUGUUAGAGUUAAUUCUUAAUCAACACUAAGAGCUUCUAAUAUGGUGUUGAUACCUUGUCUUCUCUUUCGGCCAAUGGAAAUAUAUGUGGGUGAUGAGGCCACGCUUGAAUUGCAAGUUACUGGGGAAAGUUCACAUUCUAUUUUUUAAGUUAAUGUUAAGACCUUGGAUUCACAGAUCUAUAUAUUCCAAGUUGAGAAAAAUAUAAGUCAUGUUUUUGACUGUA